AACGAACGCUGGCGGCAUGCCUAACACAUGCAAGUCGAACGAGACCUUCGGGUCUAGUGGCGCACGGGUGCGUAACGCGUGGGAACCUGCCCUUAGGUUCGGAAUACCUCCCCGAAAGGGGUGCUAAUACCGGAUCAUGUCUUCGGACCAAAGAUUUAUCGCCUUUGGAUGGGCCCGCGUUGGAUUAGCUAGUUGGUAGGGUAAAAGCCUACCAAGGCGACGAUCCAUAGCUGGUCUGAGAGGAUGAUCAGCCACACUGGGACUGAGACACGGCCCAGACUCCUACGGGAGGCAGCAGUGGGGAAUAUUGGACAAUGGGCGAAAGCCUGAUCCAGCAAUGCCGCGUGAGUGAUGAAGGCCUUAGGGUUGUAAAGCUCUUUUACCCGGGAUGAUAAUGACAGUACCGGGAGAAUAAGCUCCGGCUAACUCCGUG
This 433-nucleotide ribosomal RNA is filed under the name uncultured bacterium. RNAcentral describes it as "partial 16S ribosomal RNA". It matches the Rfam family "Bacterial small subunit ribosomal RNA", at positions 29 to 507 of the family's 1533-position model. The record is from RNAcentral.